AAUUGCGCCGAACGGUUAUAACUUUGAUAAGGGUACUCAAGGUUUACAGCGAUGCCUCGCUGUAAAGGAGAGGUAUUCGGAGUGUCGACACUGAUUAACCGCAGCAUGAAGGACUCACCUGGUGUGAAACCACAUUUUGAGAAAUCUGGUAAGUCACCACCCACCGUGCAGAAACAAGUCAUUAACUAAGUUCCAACUCUAAUGCACAAGCAUGAACCGCAAAAUCUUUUAGUCGAAAGAACAAACCAACAAAAUGAAAGCCUGCCUUUUUUUGUCCAACGAAUAACAACAUGUAGGUCACGGUAGAUCGGCGAAGGUAGAACGGAGGAGCGCUAUUUCACCUGGACUACAUUUUUUCAAUAACGGAUCGCGCGCGCGUUCGUCAUGACGACAAUCGGUAUGUAAAGGCAAAAUCAAUUCGUCGUAGUUUGGAUGAAUUACCGCCAGACUAGAGCUAUCGAUUGGGGUGCGUGCGGCUAAAGCCACAGUUUUGCACUGCUGAUUGACCACAACCAAAAGUGUUCACCUGGUGUGAAACCACAUUAUGGGAAACCUCUGAAAGCUCUACGUAUUACUAUCCAAUUGUGCGUGUGAUUGGGGAGGUCUACCUCUUUCGGAGAUGAAGAGUGAUUUCGCCUAAAUCGAAUCGAAUUUCCAUCGGUUGGCAUCUAGCUGUCAUUAUGAUUGUGCGCUCGUUUGUGAAACAAUUUGUGUCAGUAGGCGAACAACGUAAGCAAUACUGCAACGAAAUGCAUGCUGCUUUCCGCUCUCUUUGGAAUGCUGCAAACCGGAACAACGAUGCACUUUUUUCGAACCCCGUAUUAUGGCUACAAACGAGAUCAAGAAAAUGAAAGAAAAAAAAUACAAUAUCAGUGGAAGGUUGAUAAUUUUUCAACCUAAUUGGGCACAUAAGGAUUGUCGAAACCGUCGAUGUCUUUUGAAAAAUACAAUAAUGGGUAGAGUACAAUCAUGUUCAUGAAAUUGUUAGUAGUAAUUUCUCUUCGAAUGAUUUUUUGUUAUUUUCUGUUAUCUGCCUGACUAUGACAAAACAAAGCACUACCUCCUUAUUUUUCACACUAUCAUAUUGAAACCGACAUCCGCACGGAAUAGAACUAAUAUUUUCCUUCAACUAAGCAAAAAGAGAAAGCUGUUAGCAGGG
This is a long non-coding RNA of Wyeomyia smithii (pitcher-plant mosquito), 1159 nucleotides long. RefSeq lists it as uncharacterized. The transcript has 3 exons. NCBI's taxonomy places the organism in Eukaryota, Metazoa, Arthropoda, Insecta, Diptera, Culicidae. The record is from RefSeq and is a predicted model, not a curated record.